UCCAGCUGUGGCAACAGAGCAAGAGUCUGUCUCAAAAAAAAAAAAAAAAAAGCAAACUAUUUUUAGAUUUGUUGGACUUCCUAAAUCAGCAAAUGUUGUAAUAAAAAUUAAGUAAUGUGCUGCACUAGCAGGCUGGAAUCGGGUAAUUUUACCCCACUCUUUCUGGAAGAUGGACCCAUCUGAAGUGACCUGAGACCAGGUGAGGACUUUGGGAGCUACAGAGAACAGCAGGAAGCUUUGGGCCUGCAAAGCCUUCUCUUUACUCUUUGAUACUCUAUUUAUCGCCCUGGGUCCCCGUGGAUUCCAUGCCACCUUCCUAAUCUUAGGAAUUGUUGUAACAAUGAUACCUGUAAAGAAAAACCUGAACUCCUCUCAUUAGACUUCCUCUGAGAAAGCUUUAGAGGGCAUUAAUUACUAGUACUAUUAUAGCUUCUUACAUGCCCUGUUUUUAACUUUAAUUGAGGACUGUUUCCUAUCAUUUGUAGGAUCGAAUUCAGAUGCAGCUGUAUCUCCUUUAUUAUUACUGUCAGAGUGAUGAGUGAGAUUUUAAAAUUUUGCUCUUAUUCCAUCAGUCAUCUUCAGGACAGCAGUUUCUCAAAAGUUGCUACUAGCAAAAUCUGAUUCAGAAUAAACCCAGAGGUUUACUCCAUAAAUAAAUAAACGUCCUAGCCCCUUAAUACACCUGAACUCAUCAGCUCCACUUCCAUUAAGCUCAACAUGGAAUGCCGGAAGAAGACCCCAGGAACCCAGCAAUGUGAGGUGGUGGGAAAGCAGGCGGAUACCUUCAUAAGCUGCCCUUGCUAAGAAACAGGCCGCAACCUCCUUGAAUUAGGAAGAGAGAAGUACAGAACGUACCUGUGCUCAUCACAGAGUUAGAAACAAGAAUGUUAACUCUUCUCUGAGUUUCUUAAGAUAUGGAAAUACUUCCAUAGGCCAUGAAUGACACAUCGUGACUCAUGGAUGCCCCGGCUCUUUGCAUCCUGCACAUAGACACGUGACAGACACUUGAUGAGACUCCUUGAUACAAAAAGCAUAUACUUUUUAGUUUUACAAGGAAGGAGUCUCUCUAAGAAAAUGUUCAAGUGGAUUUUUGGCUACCCAGCAAAUUAUUCUAACAGCCAACACUAUGAAAUACUGUAUCCAUGAAGAAAAUGAGACCUAGAGAAGUCAAGGACCUCGCCGAAGUUCCCUUGCCUGUAAGGAUGAAGCUAGGAUUCAAAUUCAGACAGCCUGGGUUCCAGAGCCAGCAUGCUUUUGACCUCGUUCACUUCUCUUCCAGGUAUCAGACCAACAGAAAACCAUACAAGACCUGAUUGGACGAUAUAAAAGGAUGUUGCAUAAGAAUCUGAAGUCGUCAUACACUGAAGAAUAACAAAAGCAGAGAUGUAGUUUCACCGUGUCGGCCAGGCUGGUC
Sapajus apella (tufted capuchin) is the source of this 1414-nucleotide long non-coding RNA. RefSeq lists it as uncharacterized. The record is from RefSeq and is a predicted model, not a curated record. NCBI's taxonomy places the organism in Eukaryota, Metazoa, Chordata, Mammalia, Primates, Cebidae. The transcript has 7 exons.